RNAcentral lists this ribosomal RNA (435 nucleotides) under uncultured Flavobacterium sp. RNAcentral describes it as "bacterial SSU rRNA". It matches the Rfam family "Bacterial small subunit ribosomal RNA", at positions 358 to 790 of the family's 1533-position model. The record is from RNAcentral. Lineage: Bacteria; Pseudomonadati; Bacteroidota; Flavobacteriia; Flavobacteriales; Flavobacteriaceae.
GGAAUAUUGGACAAUGGGCGCAAGCCUGAUCCAGCCAUGCCGCGUGCAGGAAGAAGCAUCUAUGGUGUGUAAACUGCUUUUAUACAGGAAGAAACACUCCCUCGUGAGGGAGCUUGACGGUACUGUAAGAAUAAGGACCGGCUAACUCCGUGCCAGCAGCCGCGGUAAUACGGAGGGUCCAAGCGUUAUCCGGAAUCAUUGGGUUUAAAGGGUCCGUAGGCGGUUUAAUAAGUCAGUGGUGAAAUCUGGUCGCUCAACGAUCAAACGGCCAUUGAUACUGUUAGACUUGAAUUAUAAGGAAGUAACUAGAAUAUGUAGUGUAGCGGUGAAAUGCUUAGAUAUUACAUGGAAUACCAAUUGCGAAGGCAGGUUACUACUUAUGGAUUGACGCUGAUGGACGAAAGCGUGGGGAGCGAACAGGAUUAGAUACCCUAG